RNAcentral lists this ribosomal RNA (254 nucleotides) under uncultured bacterium. Its description in RNAcentral is "partial 16S ribosomal RNA". It matches the Rfam family "Bacterial small subunit ribosomal RNA", at positions 524 to 776 of the family's 1533-position model. The record is from RNAcentral.
UACGUAGGGGGCAAGCGUUGUCCGGAUUUAUUGGGCGUAAAGAGCGUGUAGGCGGUUUGGUAGGUCCGCUGUGAAACGUCGAGGCUCAACCUCGAGACGCCGGUGGAAACCAUCAGACUAGAGUCCGGAAGAGGAGAGUGGAAUUCCUGGUGUAGCGGUGAAAUGCGCAGAUAUCAGGAAGAACACCCGUGGCUAAGGCGGCUCUCUAGUACGGUACUGACGCUGAGACGCGAAAGCGUGGGGGAGCGAACAGG